GCAUACAAUAACCUUGGAAGAAGACGUGUACAGAUACUCUCCAAGAUGCCAGAACCAACUGUUGCGAUGAUAACCACGCCAUUUUACCAGCAACAGCAGUAUGAAGUCUCCAGGUUCCUGAAGGUCAAGCCACUGGCUUUGGGGAUUUUGGAAAUAUUGAUAACCUUAUUGAAACUCUGUUUGAUAAUCUGGAAAAAGAAUUUUAUCCUUAUCUGGUCACCAGUCAUUUUCUUCAUAAUUGGAGCUUUAACAGUCGCAGCUGCACACACACGUAAACCGCGUCUGGUCAAAACCUCACAAAUGCUCAGCUUUGUGAAUUGUGCGGUAGUUACUUUCUCCCUCCGUGUUCCCUUCAUUUUCCGUUGGGUUACUUCAGAUGUGUUCUUCUACAUCCCUGUCAUCUGUGAUAUCCUGAUCUUCAUCUUAUCUCUUGUUGUUGCCGUAACCUCCUGUUCCUGUUGCUGCAGACCAAAGUCAAUCCCUGUCAUGGUCAGUUAUAUGACCACAGAUUUGCCUGUCAACCCCAUCAUGCCGAUGGGCCAGCCGGACGCCUAUGCAGUGGCCCCGGUCCCACUGGUGCCUCUGCCAAAUCACGGUCACGUCCCCAAUGCAUCUCCACCAAUGUAUAGUCCAGUACCAACUACACCUCCAUCCAACUACGAAAAAGUCUCAGAUGCACUUCCACCAAACUACAGUCCAGUCCCAAGUACCCCUCCACCAGCAUAUGAGCAUGAAGAUUUUCAGGCCAGAAGAUGAAUAAUAUCUUCGGAAUGUUUGACGUUUGCACAAUUUAUGGUGUUGGAAAACCAAAGAUUAUACUUUAGAAGUUUGUAAAUUGAAUGGAUGAGAAACAUGCCUCAGAGUCUUACGUUUUCAUUAUGUUUCAUUUGUUGUAUAUUUCCCCAAAUGACUGUUUUGUUUGAUUUGAUUUUAUAUAAUAAAUUGGCAGUUUUCUUAAUUUAUGUGCAUUUUCUACUUUUUAAUUCAACACAGUAAACGGCACACGAUUGAUUUACAGACAGACUUAACAUUUAAAAUCUUAUCUUAGUGUUCAAAGUGUACUUUAAAUUAAAUAAUAAUGUUGUAAUUUGCAUCACUCAAGCAAGUGGUUUGCACAAUCAAGUUAUAAAUUGACUAUUCAUUAAUUUUUAGAAUUAUGGUCUGAAGAUAGAAUGACAAUUUUAGAUUCUAAUUUGUGUUUGACCUGUGCUGUCACAAAAUACUAUUUCCAGCCCUUAACUUCUAGUACAGCAUAACCUGUUCAGAAAUAUUUCAGAAGACCUGAAAACAAAACACUGCAUAUUCACAUUAACACUUCAUCUCAGCAUGAAGAUGGGUUUAGAUGGCCAGAAAACUACUCUGUGGGUCUGAUUACCUGCUCUAUUAUUUAGUUCAGAUCACAGCUAAUAAAAUCAAUGAAAAACGUUAGAAUACUGUAAUUAAAUUAAUAAAGUAGAUGAAUAUCUGAUUUCAUAGGACAGCCUUUCAUGCUAAUUUAUUUCAAACAGUAUUCUCACAACUGUGUUAUAGUGUUUUAUGAAUGCAUUUGUGCAACUAGAUAUUUAGAUCUUCUCUCUCCUUUAAAUUAAUAAUCAAAGCCUAACAAAUUUAUGUUCUGUUAAGCUUAUUUCCACCACAGAGUAAAGAAUAAAAAAGCAUAUUAAGAGAUACAAAUACUUUUUUCUUACAAUUGUGAGAUUAUAUUUUGCAAUUUAGAUUUUUUUUUCUCAAAACUGCGAAUUUAUAUCAAUUGUGAGAAAUUUAUCUCAAUUCAGACUUCAUGACUCAGUUCUGACAAUAGUUUUUUUCAGAAUUGUGAGAUAAAAUGCAAUUAUGAGUUAUGAAGUUCAUACAGAUAUACAGGUUCUGGUCAUAUAAUUACAAUCAAACAGUUGAUUUAUUUCACUAAUUCCAUUCAAAAAGUGAAACUUGUAUAUUAUAUUCAUUCAUUACACACAGACUUAUAACUGACAACUAAGGAAAAACCCAAAUUAAGUAUCUCAGAAAAUUAGAAUAUUACUUAAAGCUGCAGUAGGUAACUUUUGUAAAAAUAUUUUUUUUUUUACAUAUUUGUUAAACCUGUCAUUAUGUCCUGACAGUAGAAUAUGAGACAGAUAAUCUGUGAAAAAAUCAAGUUCCUCUGGCUCCUCCCAGUGGUCCUAUUGUCAUUUGCAGAAAUACAUCGCUCCCGUAAGAAACAACCAAUCAGAGCUGCGGUCCGUAACAUUGUUUGUGUUCAAAAUGUAGAAAAAUGUAUAUAAUAAGCGAGUACACCAUGAAUCCAUUUUCCAAACCGUGUUUUUAGCUUGUCCUGAAUCAAUAGGGUGCACCUAUAAUAAGUGUUUAUAUUCUGACUAUUUUAGAUUGCUUCAGGGGUACCGCGGCGGAGUAACCCAGUACCUUCGUGAUUCUUCAUAGACAUAAACAGAGAGAAGUAGUUCCGGCUACGAUGUUCUUCUGCAAGACGCAAGCAGUUCUGUUUAUUAACCGCUAGAGCGUCAAAAGUUACCUACCGCAGCUUUAAGACCAGUUCAAAGAAAGGAUUUUUAGAAAUCUUGGCCAGCUGAAAAGUAUGAACAUGAAAAGUAUAAGCAUGUACAGCACUCAAUACUUAGUUGGGGCUCCUUUUGUCUGAAUUACUGCAUCAAUGCAGCGUGGCAUGGAGUCGAUCAGUCUGUGGCACUGCUCAGGUGUUAUGAGAGCCCAGGGUGCUCUGAUAGUGGCCUUCAGCUCUUCUGCAUUGUUGGGUCUGGCAUAUCACAUCUUCCUCUUCACAAUACCCCAUAGAUUUUCUUUGGGGUUAAGGUCAGGUGAGUUUGCUGGCCAAUUAAGAACAGGGAUACCAGUCCUCAAAACCAGGUACUGAAACCCAUGUCUUGUAUACGUCUGCGUGUAGUGGUUCUUGAAGCACUGACUCCAGCUGCAGUCCACUCUUUGUGAAUCUCCCCCACAUUUUUAAAUGGGUUUUGUUUCACGAUCCUCUCCAGGGUACGGUUAUCCCUAUUGCUUGUACACUUUUUUUCUACCACAUCUUUUCCUUUCCUUCACCUCUCUAUUAAUGUGCUUGGACACAGAGCUCUGUGAACAGCCAGCCUCUUUUGCAAUGACCUUUUGUGUCUUGCCCUCCUUGAGCAAGGUGUCAAUGGUCGUCUUUUGGGCAACUGUCAAGUCAGCAGUCUUCCCCAUGAUUGUGUAACCUACAGAACUAGACUGAGAGACCAUAUAAAGGCCUUUGCAGGUGUUUUGAGUUAAUUAGCUGAUUAGAGUGUGGCACCAGGUGUCUUCAAUAUUGAACCUUUUCACAAUAUUCUAAUUUUCUGAGAUACUGCAUUUGGGAUUUUCCUUAGUUGUCAGUUAUAAUCAUCAAAAUUAAAAGAAAUAAACAUUUGAAAUAUAUCAGUUCACUUUUUGAAUGGAAUUAUUGAAAUAAAUCAACUUUUUGAUGAUAUUAUAAUUAUAUGACCAGAACCUGUAGAAUUGUGGGAUAAAUAGUUGCAUUUACUUUUUUUUUUUUAUUCCAUGGGAGAAAUAAUAAUCUGCAAUUGGUGAUGAAUAAAAAAACAUGCAAAACAUGUUUAAACUGAGUUUCUCUUACACUGACUGGAGGGGAGGAGUCUUUUCAUAUUUAUUUUACAAAGAUGGACCUACUAGAUAACGUGAGAAUGAAAACAGCAAGAUUCAAGAGCAACACCAACAUCAGGUAAAGCAAUCUCUCGAUAUAAUAAUUCAUGUUCAGGUUUAUGAUCAGCUCCAUGGUUUCUAUAUAUAUAUUUGAACGCUACAUUCUCUUUAAAGAAAGAUUGUGUUGGGCCGGCAGAGGAUGGCUAGAGAUGAGUAAAACUUCUAUUCAACAUAUCUUUUCAUAGCGUCACAUGACAGAUUCUUUUAACAAUAGGCUUCUGUUUUAAAAUUUCCCAAGUUUCCUAUUGUUUUUUUUUAGUCAAAUAUAGUGGCUUGGAAACAGAUGGAUAACUGACUACAACAGUAGCUUGUACUACUAAAGUUUAGGUGUAAUUUUCUAGUCGUCUAUUUAUUUUGCAUACAUCUUAAGGUGGUAAAACGGGAUUUGUUACACGUGUGAAUAAAUAAAUGUAAUUUGCUAUAUCAAUCUAUAGACUACUCUUUAUAAACCAUAUAAACACACCUAUUUUGCCACUUUUCCCCGGACUAUAUUAGUAGCCUAUAUUCUGGUAAUGUUGACUGGAUGGACCAGCACCAGCCUGGUUUGACUAUGGGCACACUUGGCACAUUUUCCAAUAUGAAACAAAUUUAAACGUGAUUUAAUAAUUAACCCCGGCUGGGACAUAGUGUCCAAAGAUGAAGAAACACCCAGUUACAGUUACAUAAUCAAUUCAAUUGAAUUAACUCGUUUAAUGAACUGUUGUAUAAAAGCAAUGUCAUAUCUAUAUAUACAUACUUUAUAUGAGCCAGCCAGGCUGAUGUUCAGACCUGCAUUCUUUGGUCAUGUGUCGCUGGGUAAACCCAUGGGUUAUGAUUGUGAUUGACAGGAUAACGUUGCAGCCCUCUACAUUCUUUAACACCACAGGAAUGCUUUCUCUUUGUUGUUAAGCAGCUCUUCAGGUAAAUCCUGACUCCCUUCUUUGAGAAGGACAGAAUGAUCAGUGAAACAUUGUUUCUCCACACUCAGUAAGCUUUGGCUGACGAGAAAGACAAGACGUGCAAAGACAAGAUACUCUCUUUAUUUUCAAAGAUGCCAAAACCCGCUGAUGAGAUGCCAACCGUGCCAGUUCACCAGCGAGGGCAGUAUGACGUCUCCAGCUUCCUGAAGGUCAAGCCACUGGCUCUGGGG
Long non-coding RNA from Carassius auratus (goldfish), 4810 nucleotides. The record is from Ensembl. Lineage: Eukaryota; Metazoa; Chordata; Actinopteri; Cypriniformes; Cyprinidae.